RNAcentral lists this ribosomal RNA (433 nucleotides) under uncultured bacterium. Its description in RNAcentral is "partial 16S ribosomal RNA". It matches the Rfam family "Bacterial small subunit ribosomal RNA", at positions 29 to 507 of the family's 1533-position model. The record is from RNAcentral.
AACGAACGCUGGCGGCAGGCCUAACACAUGCAAGUCGAGCGAGGACUUCGGUCCUAGCGGCGGACGGGUGAGUAACGCGUGGGAACGUGCCCUUUGCUUCGGAAUAGCUCUGGGAAACUGGGAGUAAUACCGGAUGAGCCCUUUGGGGGAAAGAUUUAUCGGCGAAGGAUCGGCCCGCGUUGGAUUAGGUAGUUGGUAGGGUAAUGGCCUACCAAGCCGACGAUGCAUAGCUGGUUUGAGAGGAUGAUCAGCCACACUGGGACUGAGACACGGCCCAGACUCCUACGGGAGGCAGCAGUGGGGAAUCUUAGAAAAUGGGGGGAACCCUGAUCGAGCCAUGCCGCGUGAGCGAUGAAGGCCUUAGGGUUGUAAAGCUCUUUCAGCUGGGAAGAUAAUGACGGUACCAGCAGAAGAAGCCCCGGCUAACUCCGUG